GUGAAUCAUCGAAUCUUUGAACGCAAAUUGCACUCUCUGGUAUUCCGGGGAGUAUGCUUGUUUGAGGGUCAGUUUAAAUAAAAAUCGGUGUGGUUGUUGUCUUUCGUGGUGACGGACCGGAUUUGGGUCGUCUUGUCUUCGGUUAAGUUACCUAUGAUUUUGCAUGAUUUUUUUUGAACGUAUUUAAAUGCUUUUACGUACGUUUGCGCUUUCGGAUCUUAGGUGUGGU
RNAcentral lists this unclassified non-coding RNA (229 nucleotides) under Glomus sp. RNAcentral's name for it is "partial contains 5.8S ribosomal RNA and internal transcribed spacer 2". The stretch from base 1 to 71 matches the Rfam family "5.8S ribosomal RNA", at positions 84 to 154 of the family's 154-position model. The record is from RNAcentral. Lineage: Eukaryota; Fungi; Glomeromycota; Glomeromycetes; Glomerales; Glomeraceae.